Molecule: unclassified non-coding RNA, 427 nt
Filed under: Hevea brasiliensis (rubber tree)
Lineage: Eukaryota; Viridiplantae; Streptophyta; Magnoliopsida; Malpighiales; Euphorbiaceae
Source: RNAcentral
GUUUUGGGGUGGUGGUUUUGGAGGUGGCAUGUGGGCGAAGGCCGAUUGACUUAGGGAUUGUGUUGGAGGAAGAGGAAGUGUUGAUUGAUUGGGUUAGACAAAAGUACAGGGAAGGGCGAUUAUGUGAGGCAGCAGAUAAAAGGAUCAAGGAGCAGUGUUCGGAGGAAGAAAUGGAAGCUAUAUUGAAACUAGGACUUACAUGUUGUCACCCUGAUCCUCUCCGUCGGCCUACUAUGAAGGAGGUUGUUGCUGUAUUGCUUGGUGAAAAUGUCGAUGCAACGCCAAAUGAGUUGAUCGUUGAAUUAGCACCUACUGAAAGCAACACGAGAGAUAGAAGCGACUGGUCAACUGAGGAAUCAGAGCCACUUUCGGCUGUGUAGAUAUUGUACUUCUGUUUCCUUCAUUGCCUUGAAAUUAUUGUUUAAAG